Molecule: ribosomal RNA, 567 nt
Filed under: Penicillium oxalicum
Lineage: Eukaryota; Fungi; Ascomycota; Eurotiomycetes; Eurotiales; Aspergillaceae
Description: eukaryotic LSU rRNA
Rfam family: 5.8S ribosomal RNA (bases 197-350)
Source: RNAcentral
ACCUGCGGAAGGAUCAUUACCGAGUGAGGGCCCUCUGGGUCCUACCUCCCACCCGUGUUUAUCGUACCUUGUUGCUUCGGCGGGCCCGCCUCACGGCCGCCGGGGGGCAUCCGCCCCCGGGCCCGCGCCCGCCGAAGACACACAAACGAACUCUUGUCUGAAGAUUGCAGUCUGAGUACUUGACUAAAUCAGUUAAAACUUUCAACAACGGAUCUCUUGGUUCCGGCAUCGAUGAAGAACGCAGCGAAAUGCGAUAAGUAAUGUGAAUUGCAGAAUUCAGUGAAUCAUCGAGUCUUUGAACGCACAUUGCGCCCCCUGGUAUUCCGGGGGGCAUGCCUGUCCGAGCGUCAUUGCUGCCCUCAAGCACGGCUUGUGUGUUGGGCUCUCGCCCCCCGCUUCCGGGGGGCGGGCCCGAAAGGCAGCGGCGGCACCGCGUCCGGUCCUCGAGCGUAUGGGGCUUCGUCACCCGCUCUGUAGGCCCGGCCGGCGCCCGCCGGCGAACACCAUCAAUCUUAACCAGGUUGACCUCGUAUCAGGUAGGGAUACCCGCUGAACUUAAGCAUAUCA